Non-coding RNA from Rattus norvegicus (Norway rat), 144 nucleotides. NCBI's taxonomy places the organism in Eukaryota, Metazoa, Chordata, Mammalia, Rodentia, Muridae. The record is from Rfam.
AACGUGGCCCAGCGGCAAUAUCUCAGCCAACAAGGUUUAUCCAGGGUGCGAUUAUUGCUAAUUGAAAACUAGAAUAUCUUUUAGGCUGUAAGGUUAAAAUAGUGUUUCCCAAACUUAAAAAAGCUAUGCUUGUAUGUUUGCAUA